ACGUACACUCCUGCGGGAGGCAUCAGUGGGGAAUAUUGGACAAUGGGCGCAAGCCUGAUCCAGCCAUGCCGCGUGAGUGAUGAAGGCCCUAGGGUUGUAAAGCUCUUUUGUGCGGGAAGAUAAUGACGGUACCGCAAGAAUAAGCCCCGGCUAACUUCGUGCCAGCAGCCGCGGUAAUACGAAGGGGGCUAGCGUUGCUCGGAAUCACUGGGCGUAAAGGGUGCGUAGGCGGGUCUUUAAGUCAGGGGUGAAAUCCUGGAGCUCAACUCCAGAACUGCCUUUGAUACUGAAGAUCUUGAGUUCGGGAGAGGUGAGUGGAACUGCGAGUGUAGAGGUGAAAUUCGUAGAUAUUCGCAAGAACACCAGUGGCGAAGGCGGCUCACUGGCCCGAUACUGACGCUGAGGCACGAAAGCGUGGGGAGCAAACAGGAUUAGAUACCCCUGUAGUCCCA
This 452-nucleotide ribosomal RNA is filed under the name uncultured organism. Its description in RNAcentral is "partial 16S ribosomal RNA". It matches the Rfam family "Bacterial small subunit ribosomal RNA", at positions 329 to 797 of the family's 1533-position model. The record is from RNAcentral.